AAAUCUUCCCAUAUAUCUCAAGAUAAUCUCUUUCUUUCAUACACUAAAAAGUUUCACUUCGUUUCUAGGAACUUCACUAUCUCUUUUAUGGUUGUUGGGUGUAUACAGAAAUCCAUUGAUGUCUACCUUAAAACCUCAAACUUGUAGAAGUGUGAAAGUUGUACAUCAUAAAUCUAUGGUAGAAAAUAUACUCACAAGAUUACUAACCCUUUAAUAAUACUGGUGUAGACAUCAAUGACAACAAAAAACCAGCACAAAGAAAAGAAAGCUUGAGGAAAGGCUUGGCUCGAGGAAAACAAUUUCAGAGCAAAACCCAAAAAAAUGAAAAGAAAAGACUCUCAAAGUUUAAGGGACAAGUCAAGGUUCUUCUGCUUCUCUUCUUCAGCUGGCUUCAACAAUUCCUCGCCUCUCUGCCAUAGUUCAGAAGUUGGAAACUCUACUGGAAUCCUUCCUACAUCGAACCUACCGAUGUUUUCACAUGUGGAAGUCAACGGUGGAGCAAUCAUCAUCUGAUGAUGAUUAUAAUGAUUCUCUGUUGAAGUUAGUUUUGCUAUUGCUGGUUGCUGAACUAGUGGUAUCCUUGACCAGUUGAUCUGACCAUACUCACCACCGUAAACGUUAUAUGAACUUGGCUUAUGACUCAUUGAGUGUGCCUGAAUACCCAAGGUUCUGUUGCUGUACUGUCCAUGGAACGGGACCGGAGCAAAACCAUAUGGAUGCCCGAAAGCUGCGGCAGAUGCCAUCCGUUGCCCUCGCUUUGCCAAAGUCCUUUCUCUUUUGUGGGCGUUUUGGUGACCACCAAGCGCCUGUGAGCUGUAGAAUGUUCUUUGACAGUAGUUGCAUGAGAAGAGCUUCUGUUCAGUGGAAGUUGACCCGUUAAAACUCGGAGUGACUACACCUGUCUCUAAGCAGUCGAGGAGAUUGAGUUCUUGAUUGAGCUGUGGUUGACUAGAAUCAUAUCCUGCUAGCAUAAGGUCAAGCUUUAUACCUUCCACUCCUUCUUUUUGGUCAUGAUCAUCUUCUUCUUGUGCUGCUACUGUGUCUAUGUUGUAAUUUUCUAGGCUCAGCUUUGGGGAAUCUGAAAAUUGAAGACUGGUGGAUGCAGAAAUGAUGCAUGAGGAAUCAGAUGAUCUUGGUUUUCCGCUGGAAGAAUCCAUGAGGGGCAAAGAGGGUAUAUAAUUUUCCAGGUGAUGGUUUUGUUCACUUCAAUUGUCUCUCUCUCUCACCUUAUGGAUUAAUAGCUAUAUAGCCUAAGAAAAAAAGAAGCAUAAAAGUCUAGUUUUUUCACAGAAGUGGGAGCAGAAGUUGAUGCUAUAUAAGGAAAGUAUAGACUCAGUACAAAUGCUUUUGGAGUUUGUAAUAAGUGGAGAAAAGUAGUAAGAAGAUGAGAGAGAUAGAGAAAGAGAGAUGGGAGCAACUUUCACUUCACAUCAACCUUUUUUUGGGCUGCUUUCUCCUUCAAUACACCAAUCUCUAUUCCCUAUCAUGCAUAAUCUUCUUUAACUUUUUUUUUCCUGUUCUCUCAGUCUAUUGCCUUUAUGUGCUUAAAAGUUCUUCAACAAACAAGUAUACAUGUCAUUUCUUUUUCUUAUACCCAGGUUGAUGCCAAUGACAUGUAGAGUUGGGCUUAAUUCAAGAAAGCCAUCCCAAUGAAUAUUUACUUUUUGUCUUGGACUCCUGAUUCUAAUAGGCCCCAACUCGUCUUCAUUUGGUAUAGUUUUGUAUGCAGCCGCGGAUAUGUGUAAGGAAAUUACUAAACCCACCUUAGCCCAACCUACAAAUCUUACAUAGAAUAUGUACAGUAGUAGUCACUAGUUCUAAACUAAUGGAGACUUUAUAGACUCUUUUGUAUGAGGAAAAAAGGAUUUGGAGGGGGGAACAAGACAAAAGAAAGCUUGGCAGUUCAAAAGAUCUUCUGAAACUGGGACCGGUUUUAUUUGUUUGGAUGAAACGACAACUUGUUGUAAUAUUCACGGAGUAGAUGAAGAUGACAACAAGUGACAAUGAAAUUGAAAAGGAUGCUCAAUGACAAGAGAGAGAGAUAAGGAGAGAGUGGACCAAGUGAAACUAUUCAGUUUGCUUCACAUUCACACUCUCCUUCAUCUUUAUAUCCAUUGGAAUCCUUAAUAGUUUGCCGGAUUUUAUGGUUGAAAGGCCAAUAAAUUUUGUUCUGGUUUGGGUGGGAAAACAAAGUGAAACGACAAAGCGUCUCAUCUAUGCUUGCUCGGGAUACGAAUCUUCAGUAUUUGAUUUCUCGAAAACUUUAGCAUAAAUUAAUAUGUGGUGGAAGCCGGAAAAUAUAAAAAUAGGCAAGUAAAAUCCAAAGAACUAAUUGUUAGGACAACUAGUUUAAGUAUGUUGAGUAUUUUGUCGAAUGCGACCUAUAUAUAAUUCGUGGGUCCAAUGUUACAAACGAUCUACAAUUAAAGAAAUUGUGAAAGCUGAUUCGG
This 2450-nucleotide long non-coding RNA is filed under the name Arabidopsis thaliana (thale cress). RNAcentral's name for it is "[] (AT5G10965)". The record is from RNAcentral. Lineage: Eukaryota; Viridiplantae; Streptophyta; Magnoliopsida; Brassicales; Brassicaceae.